ACGUACACUCCUACGGGAGGCAGCAGUGGGGAAUAUUGGACAAUGGGCGCAAGCCUGAUCCAGCCAUGCCGCGUGAGUGAUGAAGGCCCUAGGGUUGUAAAGCUCUUUCACCGGUGAAGAUAAUGACGGUAACCGGAGAAGAAGCCCCGGCUAACUUCGUGCCAGCAGCCGCGGUAAUACGAAGGGGGCUAGCGUUGUUCGGAUUUACUGGGCGUAAAGCGCACGUAGGCGGACUAUUAAGUCAGGGGUGAAAUCCCGGGGCUCAACCCCGGAACUGCCUUUGAUACUGGUAGUCUUGAGUUCGAGAGAGGUGAGUGGAAUUCCGAGUGUAGAGGUGAAAUUCGUAGAUAUUCGGAGGAACACCAGUGGCGAAGGCGGCUCACUGGCUCGAUACUGACGCUGAGGUGCGAAAGCGUGGGGAGCAAACAGGAUUAGAUACCCCAGUAGUCCCAU
RNAcentral lists this ribosomal RNA (453 nucleotides) under uncultured organism. RNAcentral describes it as "partial 16S ribosomal RNA". It matches the Rfam family "Bacterial small subunit ribosomal RNA", at positions 329 to 798 of the family's 1533-position model. The record is from RNAcentral.